Molecule: long non-coding RNA, 278 nt
Filed under: Homo sapiens (human)
Lineage: Eukaryota; Metazoa; Chordata; Mammalia; Primates; Hominidae
Description: HSALNT0103977
Source: RNAcentral
CAGUGGAGGCGUGGCCUGCAAUGACGGAGCGGGGCCGGCGUCCGCUUGCUCCAGUCGCGUAAACACAUGGCGUUUACGACUGUCUGGGAAGCCUGACGCCGUGACCUCCCGACGCCGCGAGACUCAAGGAAUGAACAUAAUAAUUUCCUACUAUUCUGCCACCGCGAUGCCGAAGGCGCCCAAGCAGCAGCUGCCGGAGCCCGAGUGGAUCGGGGACGGAGAGAACACGAGCCCAUCAGGUGAGGCUGGUAGGCAAGGAAGACACGAGAGGAAGGGGA